Molecule: ribosomal RNA, 485 nt
Filed under: uncultured bacterium
Lineage: Bacteria
Description: partial 16S ribosomal RNA
Rfam family: Bacterial small subunit ribosomal RNA
Source: RNAcentral
AUUGAACGCUGGCGGAAUGCUUUACACAUGCAAGUCGAACGGCAGCACGGGGGCAGCCCUGGUGGCGAGUGGCGAACGGGUGAGUAAUACAUCGGAACGUGCCCGGUCGUGGGGGAUAACGUAGCGAAAGUUACGCUAAUACCGCAUACGAUCUGAGGAUGAAAGCGGGGGACCUUCGGGCCUCGCGCGAUCGGAGCGGCCGAUGUCAGAUUAGGUAGUUGGUGGGGUAAAGGCCUACCAAGCCGACGAUCUGUAGCUGGUCUGAGAGGACGACCAGCCACACUGGGACUGAGACACGGCCCAGACUCCUACGGGAGGCAGCAGUGGGGAAUUUUGGACAAUAGGCGCAAGCCUGAUCCAGCCAUUCCGCGUGCAGGACGAAGGCCUUCGGGUUGUAAACUGCUUUUGUACGGAACGAAAAGGCUCUGGCUAAUACCUGGGGCUCAUGACGGUACCGUAAGAAUAAGCACCGGCUAACUACGUGC